AGUAAUAUGUCUGAUAAAAGAAAUAUUUUGAUAAAAUAUAAAUGUAUAUAUUUCAAUUAUACUAUUACUU
Apis laboriosa (Himalayan honeybee) is the source of this 70-nucleotide non-coding RNA. The record is from the annotation of a RefSeq genome assembly. Lineage: Eukaryota; Metazoa; Arthropoda; Insecta; Hymenoptera; Apidae.